This 207-nucleotide long non-coding RNA is filed under the name Gallus gallus (chicken). The record is from RNAcentral. Lineage: Eukaryota; Metazoa; Chordata; Aves; Galliformes; Phasianidae.
GGCGCUACCGGGCGGCACUGCGCGGCUCGGUCCGGUCCGGUGCGGCGCUGCGCGGCUCGGUUCGGAGAUGGCCGCCCCAGAUACCGGCAGCACAGGCGGUGUCAUCAGCUACGUGGGCUCCGUGGGGUCCCCCCCCCGCGCCAGCCCCGUCCCGCUGUGCAGCGAAGGCUCCGUCGGCGGCCCUCAGUCCGUCCCCCUCUACUUCCC